Molecule: transfer RNA, 67 nt
Filed under: Halothiobacillaceae bacterium
Lineage: Bacteria; Pseudomonadati; Pseudomonadota; Gammaproteobacteria; Chromatiales; Halothiobacillaceae
Description: tRNA-Val
Rfam family: tRNA
About the family: Transfer RNA (tRNA) molecules are approximately 80 nucleotides in length.
Source: RNAcentral
CGCGUAGCUCAGCUGGUUAGAGCACCACCUUGACAUGGUGGGGGUCGUUGGUUCGAUUCCAAUCGCG